This 329-nucleotide unclassified non-coding RNA is filed under the name soil metagenome. RNAcentral's name for it is "partial contains 5.8S ribosomal RNA, internal transcribed spacer 2, and large subunit ribosomal RNA". The stretch from base 1 to 120 matches the Rfam family "5.8S ribosomal RNA", at positions 35 to 154 of the family's 154-position model. The record is from RNAcentral.
GAUGAAGAACGUAGCGAAAUGCGAUAAGUAAUGUGAAUUGCAGAAUUCAGUGAAUCAUCGAAUCUUUGAACGCACAUUGCGCCCUCUGGUAUUCCGGGGGGCAUGCCUGUUCGAGCGUCAUUAUAACCACUCAAGCUCUCGCUUGGUAUUGGGGUUCGCGGUUUCGCGGCCCCUAAAAUCAGUGGCGUUGCCUGUCGGCUCUACGCGUAGUAAUACUUCUCGCGAUUGAGUUCGAUAGGUCUACUUGCCAGUAACCCCCAAUUUUUACAGGUUGACCUCGGAUCAGGUAGGGAUACCCGCUGAACUUAAGCAUAUCAAUAAGCGGAGGA